UGCAGUCGAGCGGUAGCACAGAGAGCUUGCUCUCGGGUGACGAGCGGCGGACGGGUGAGUAAUGUCUGGGAAACUGCCUGAUGGAGGGGGAUAACUACUGGAAACGGUAGCUAAUACCGCAUAACGUCGCAAGACCAAAGUGGGGGACCUUCGGGCCUCAUGCCAUCAGAUGUGCCCAGAUGGGAUUAGCUAGUAGGUGGGGUAAUGGCUCACCUAGGCGACGAUCCCUAGCUGGUCUGAGAGGAUGACCAGCCACACUGGAACUGAGACACGGUCCAGACUCCUACGGGAGGCAGCAGUGGGGAAUAUUGCACAAUGGGCGCAAGCCUGAUGCAGCCAUGCCGCGUGUAUGAAGAAGGCCUUCGGGUUGUAAAGUACUUUCAGCGAGGAGGAAGGCAUUAAGGUUAAUAACCUUGGUGAUUGACGUUACUCGCAGAAGAAGCACCGGCUAACUCCGUGCCAGCAGCCGCGGUAAUACGGAGGGUGCAAGCGUUAAUCGGAAUUACUGGGCGUAAAGCGCACGCAGGCGGUCUGUCAAGUCGGAUGUGAAAUCCCCGGGCUCAACCUGGGAACUGCAUUCGAAACUGGCAGGCUAGAGUCUUGUAGAGGGGGGUAGAAUUCCAGGUGUAGCGGUGAAAUGCGUAGAGAUCUGGAGGAAUACCGGUGGCGAAGGCGGCCCCCUGGACAAAGACUGACGCUCAGGUGCGAAAGCGUGGGGAGCAAACAGGAUUAGAUACCCUGGUAGUCCACGCCGUAAACGAUGUCGACUUGGAGGUUGUGCCCUUGAGGCGUGGCUUCCGGAGCUAACGCGUUAAGUCGACCGCCUGGGGAGUACGGCCGCAAGGUUAAAACUCAAAUGAAUUGACGGGGGCCCGCACAAGCGGUGGAGCAUGUGGUUUAAUUCGAUGCAACGCGAAGAACCUUACCUACUCUUGACAUCCAGAGAACUUAGCAGAGAUGCUUUGGUGCCUUCGGGAACUCUGAGACAGGUGCUGCAUGGCUGUCGUCAGCUCGUGUUGUGAAAUGUUGGGUUAAGUCCCGCAACGAGCGCAACCCUUAUCCUUUGUUGCCAGCGGUUCGGCCGGGAACUCAAAGGAGACUGCCAGUGAUAAACUGGAGGAAGGUGGGGAUGACGUCAAGUCAUCAUGGCCCUUACGAGUAGGGCUACACACGUGCUACAAUGGCAUAUACAAAGAGAAGCGACCUCGCGAGAGCAAGCGGACCUCAUAAAGUAUGUCGUAGUCCGGAUUGGAGUCUGCAACUCGACUCCAUGAAGUCGGAAUCGCUAGUAAUCGUAGAUCAGAAUGCUACGGUGAAUACGUUCCCGGGCCUUGUACACACCGCCCGUCACACCAUGGGAGUGGGUUGCAAAAGAAGUAGGUAGCUUANCCUUCGGGAGGGCG
This 1403-nucleotide ribosomal RNA is filed under the name Klebsiella sp. RNAcentral's name for it is "bacterial SSU rRNA". It matches the Rfam family "Bacterial small subunit ribosomal RNA". Lineage: Bacteria; Pseudomonadati; Pseudomonadota; Gammaproteobacteria; Enterobacterales; Enterobacteriaceae. The record is from RNAcentral.